RNAcentral lists this long non-coding RNA (1277 nucleotides) under Oryctolagus cuniculus (rabbit). RNAcentral's name for it is "lncRNA (ENSOCUG00000034464.1)". The record is from RNAcentral. Lineage: Eukaryota; Metazoa; Chordata; Mammalia; Lagomorpha; Leporidae.
ACGUGAGACUUAACCAGUCCCUGCUCUAUUGGGACCGAUGAACCUCGCCCGGGAGUGGAAUUCCAAUAAAAGCUUGUAAAUUAAUUGAUUCAUCUGGCUGGGAAGAUUUGUUGCACCAGACACCUUGCACCCGUGGUACUGGGGUUUUUAAGCACAAUUUUGAAAAAAACAAAAAACAAAAAAAAAACAAAAACAAAAAAACCAAAAAACUUGACAAAUCAGCAUUCAGUUACAAGGUGGGGACAAAACCCACAAAAGACCUGAUUUGCAAUCUUUUAUUCUAUCUGGCUUGCUCCUGAUAAAACAAAAGAGCUAUCACAAAGGAGGGAUACCUAAUUUGUUUUACAGUAAACUGGGAGCUCAGAAGGGUGUAGUCACCACGCCCUUGCUAUUCUCAUAAGAUUGGAAGCUCCCAAGGAGCAGAAAGGCAGGCACUUCUGACCUCGUUAAGGAUAACUUUUGGGGGGAACAUUUUCUACCCUCAAUUACCAGACUGCUUAUUAACUCAUUUGAUUUCUCAGUGUCCAUACGGGAUGCCAGCACCACAGACAGCAAUUUUACCCAUUAUGCCACAGUGCCGGCUCCCAGUAUGUUAGUUCUUACAACUGAGAAUGGAGGGCAUAGUGAAGUAGGCAGGCAUACAGGUUAAAAUCAAUUAGGUUUGUGAGCUGGAAGACCACGCCUUUGCCACACCCCUGUGUGACCUCAUGCCCUACCUGGCCACACCUGAGUGCCCACCGGCCAAUCAGGUUAUUAACCACUCCCCUUUGGAAGUGGGUUAAAACCUGGGACACAGUGUGUCCUACCCUUUUCUAUUCUUCCCUGGCUUUCUUGCCAGGAGGGGGCUUGCUGCAGCCCUGUGCCUCCAGGGCAUGUGGCAUUCAGGCCACCUGCCCUAGGCUUCCUGGACUAGAUGCUCCUCCACGUGGCUGGUUCCUGGUGCUCGGGAACGGAAGUCCAUUUAUGUCUGCUGCAGGGUUGAUGUCUUAAUAGACAUGACCAGAAAAGAUCUUCACAUGACACAUUGUAAUCAAAUUCACCACAGUAAAAACAUAAAGAAAAGAUUCUAAAAUGUGCAUGAAAGAAAUGCCAGAUUAUUUUCAGAGGAUCUCCAAUUAGACUCACAUUGGACUUCUCAUUAGAAACCCUAAAGGCUAGGAGAGAAUGGCAAGAUUCGUUCCAAGUCUUAAGAGAAAAAACUAUCAACCCAGAAUACCAUACUCUGCAAAACUCUGAUUUGAGAAUGAAAGUGAAAUAAAGACCUUCCAUAGCAAACA